AGGGGGAAGAAUAAAGCACAAAUUUACAAACCCUUGGCUAAAGUUUAACUUCAUAUAACUUUUGAUCCGGAGCUCCGAUCGCAGCACCGUAUGCGGCCACGCGACCGCAGUGUCAAGCUCUACAAAGCCCAGUACUCAAUUAGGAUCAAGCUAACCUAGUAGGCUUGCCGAGUUUUGACCCAAUUUUUCGUUGGUAAGGUAGUGAAUAUGUAAUUGUGGAACAUAAUUGAGGUGAUUGAAAGCUUGGAUUGAGUCUUGGUUGCUGAAUUUUGGUGGUGAAGACUUGUGGUCUUGCAUAUUUAAGGUGUCUUUGGCGUAGAGAGAAAUCGGUCAAGGUAUGGUUUUGGUUUCCCGUAUAUAAUAUAUAAUGUCUUGUGAAAACAUAGGCUAGAUGACUAUAAGAUAGGUUGAAGCAUGUAUGUAUGUUAUGAGUUAGUAACCUUAAUAAAAAUAUUGAGUGGUCUUAAAAUGGGUUGGUGAUUGGUGAUUUAAUGAUGAUAUUUUAAUGAUUGAGAAUGAGAUUAUGUUGAUUAUGAAUUCUUGGGGUUGAAAUUCAUGAAUUUGUGUAUUGAUGGGUCACGGAGUAAAUGAGAAUUGGUUAGGUAUGAGUAUGAAUUGGUUGAAUGAGUAUGAGUUGUUAUAUGUAGAAAUAUUGUUGUGUAAUUAUUGAUGAGUAUUGACUUAAAGUAUAUUAAAUUGAGAAUCUUGAAUGAGUUGAGAAAUUGAGAAUUGAAUAGUUUAAAUGGUUGAAUGAUUGAUUAAAGGUUGAUAAGCAUUUGGCAUUGAUUAUAAGUGUUUUGGAAGUAUUUUGGUUGAUAGUGGUUUGGUUUGAAAAAGAAAAUUUGGUAAAAAUAGAGGUUGGUAUUUUUGAGAAAAAAUCUGAUUUUUUACUGAACUUCGGCGGGCCAUAACUCGGCUUUCGAAUCCUCAAGUUUUUCCAAAUUUGUUUCAAUUGAAAAUUGCGUCCGUGAAAUUUACACCGUUUGAAGAAUGAUGAAAAUUUUUUUUUUUACAAAAAAGCUAUACGCGUUGGAAGUUUGGUGUUUAAAUGUAAAUUCUGCAGCAUUAACAGUGUUGAGUUUGAAAAACUAAUUUCUGUGAUGUACAAACAUUAUAAGCUAAUUAUCAAUUGUUUGUAUAACUUAUUUGUUUAAGUGUGCAGGAAAAUAAAUUAAACAUCUUGGCCCAAGGAACAAAUGAUUAAGCCCAUUGUAAAACAUACAUUGGUCCACCAUAAUUAAGCCAAGUCCCAUCACACAUCCAUGAACCAAAGAAAGAUAGAUGGCCCAAAUCCUUCAAGCCCAUUCGGUAACCUAUACUUCCCACCUUCAAAUACUUGAACCCUAAAUUCAUUUCAAUUAAUUUCCUUGAAGCUUCCACUGAAAGCCAAAUCCUUUCUUCUCUCUCCUCUCUCCUUUCACUUCAGUCACGUCAUAGACAAGGAAGAAAGAAAGAAAAGGAAAGUGCAGAAGCUAUGGUAGGUUGAAGAACAAAAGGUUUGUUUCCAAAUCUAAGCAAGAAGAAAUUAAAAAGCUACAACCAAGUAGCCAGUUUUCAUAUGGUCAGAGCAUUUCAAGAAAGUAUCUUCUCUCAUUUGGCUACAUCGAGGAACCAAGAAGAAAUCCACGAAGUCUCAAGCACAAAUCAAGCAACCAUGGAGAAAGUGAAGUCAACUAUAGUCAGAAGCUCAUCCACAGUCCAAAUCAAAACCUGGAGCCAAAACAAAGCUCUACGGUCAAGAUUGAAGAAGCUUGAAGAAAAAGGAUGAGAGAGAAGGGAUAAGUUGCAUUCAACAAAUUCGGAUCUCUCUCUCAUCACUGACAAAGCCGUUGCAAGCUCUGUAAAGAAGAAGAAGAUAGUAUGGACCUUGAACUAGCUUCAACCUUGGAAGAUUCACUCUUCUAUAAUAAGAGUGAACGGCCAAGGGUUGAAAGUAAGAGAGAAAGAACAAAGCACAGAGUUCGGUUCUCAUAGCUUCCUAAGCUUGUUGAUUUCUCCUCCUUCAUGUUGUUCAUUAGUAUUUUCUUUUUCUCAGUUUAAUUUGUCUGAGUUUCAUUGAAAAAGGCAAACAUGGUGAGGUUUGUAAGAAAAAGCCAAUAAAAGGUAAAAGGCAGUGAGUUAAAUUAGGAGAAAAGGCCAUAAGAUGUCUCAGAUUUUCUUUGUACAUCUUUCUGUUUUAUUUCAUAAUCCUGUGGGGAUUCCCUUACAAGUUGGGUUAGCACUUGGCUGUUGAAAGAUAGGUUGAGUCCUAGUCAAAUUUAGAUUGGGUUAGAAUCUGGAUUUGUUCCAAAUAGGAUUGGGUAGAUCCUAGGGAAACAUUGGUGUAUGUAAUGUGUUAAAAAAGUUUUGGUGUAUGUAAUGUGUUAAAAAAGUUAGUGAAAUUCCAUCAUAAUUGUGAUGGAGACUGGACAUAGGCUACAUUGCACUAGGUAGCUGAACCAGGAUAUAUCUGGGUGUUACUCCUUCCUCUCUACUUCUCUUCUAUU
Molecule: non-coding RNA, 2486 nt
Organism: Arachis ipaensis
Lineage: Eukaryota; Viridiplantae; Streptophyta; Magnoliopsida; Fabales; Fabaceae
Source: RefSeq, a predicted model, not a curated record